GUGAAGGUAUGUCCCCAAAUUUCUGCAAAAUAUCUGCUUUCGAGUCACAACUUCAAAGCUUCGCAUACAACUCAAUUUGGAUCCAUAAUUCACCAAAUGGCUACCGAAAUGACCGUAAUCGAGUUAGAUUUCCACAGAAUCAAUCCCCACUAAAUUUGGAGUUACAGAGAGAGAUUAAUUACCGUUUUAGUGAAGGUCUGUCCAAUUACUAAUUCUGCAGAAAUCUACUUGUGAUCUUCAAAUUCAACAUCUUCUACCGAACACAUUGUAACUCCAAAUUCGACGAAAUUGAAAUGCCAACAAGGGUAAUUUCGUUAGAUUUUCAUACAUGUAAAUAGUAUUAAAAAAUGAGCUACAGGGUGAGAGGAAUGACGAGAAUACCAGUAGUAGUUUCAUACGAUAAUUAAUUUGAACAGACCCUCACUAAAACAGUAAUUAAUCUCUCUUUGUAACUCCAAAUUUAGUGGAGUUUGAUUCUGUGGAAAACUAACUCGAUUGCGGUCGUUUCGGUGCCAGUUUGGUGAAUUAUUGAUCCAAAUUGAGUUCUGUGCG
This 552-nucleotide long non-coding RNA is filed under the name Trifolium pratense (red clover). Its description in RNAcentral is "long non-coding RNA (TPRA_LNC002619)". The record is from RNAcentral. Lineage: Eukaryota; Viridiplantae; Streptophyta; Magnoliopsida; Fabales; Fabaceae.